GACGAACGCUGGCGGCGUGCUUAACACAUGCAAGUCGUACGGUAAGGCCCUUUCGGGGGUACACGAGUGGCGAACGGGUGCGUAACACGUGAGUAACCUGCCCACAACUUUGGGAUAACGCUAGGAAACUGGUGCUAAUACUGGAUAUGUGCUCCUGCUGCAUGGUGGGGGUUGGAAAGCUCCGGCGGUUGUGGAUGGACUCGCGGCCUAUCAGCUUGUUGGUGGGGUAGUGGCCUACCAAGGCGGCGACGGGUAGCCGGCCUGAGAGGGUGACCGGCCACAUUGGGACUGAGAUACGGCCCAGACUCCUACGGGAGGCAGCAGUGGGGAAUAUUGCACAAUGGGCGCAAGCCUGAUGCAGCAACGCCGCGUGCGGGAUGACGGCCUUCGGGUUGUAAACCGCUUUCAGCAGGGACGAAGCUUUUUGUGACGGUACCUGCAGAAGAAGCACCGACUAACUACGUG
This 465-nucleotide ribosomal RNA is filed under the name uncultured bacterium. Its description in RNAcentral is "partial 16S ribosomal RNA". It matches the Rfam family "Bacterial small subunit ribosomal RNA", at positions 28 to 507 of the family's 1533-position model. The record is from RNAcentral.